UGUUGAAAUACCUAUCACGCUACAACUACCUUAAAACCAACAGGUCGAAAGUAUGUAUUAUUGACAGCGCAAAAAAUUCAAAGAGCCGAUUAUUGACCCUAUUAUUGACAAUAUAAGUAAAUGAUUAUAUGGUUAUUUAGACUAUAAAUAAUCUAAAAUAAUU
Long non-coding RNA from Cotesia glomerata, 163 nucleotides. RefSeq lists it as uncharacterized. The transcript is spliced from 2 exons. The record is from RefSeq and is a predicted model, not a curated record. Lineage: Eukaryota; Metazoa; Arthropoda; Insecta; Hymenoptera; Braconidae.